RNAcentral lists this long non-coding RNA (373 nucleotides) under Nicotiana benthamiana. RNAcentral describes it as "long non-coding RNA (NBEN_LNC035584)". The record is from RNAcentral. Lineage: Eukaryota; Viridiplantae; Streptophyta; Magnoliopsida; Solanales; Solanaceae.
AGCAAACAAUUAAGGCACAAAUUCAGGUUCUACUCGCACCAAUGGCGUACUUGGGCUGCAUGCUUCGUUCAAGCAGCAUGGCGUAGAUAUAAAAAGCGAAAGAGUGCAGCUGAGCUUAGAGCUCUAGAGAAAAUAAUGAAUGAAACAGAAUCAGUGAGUGGACAAUUGGAUAAAAAUGCAUCAGCACCAGGAUCAGGCUUUUCAGCCUAUGCAGCAAAAUUGGCAGCAAGUAGAAGGGGUCACCACAAGCCAUAAUGAAUGAAACAGAACCUUUAUUGGAUAAAAAUGCACCAUCACCAGGAUCAGGGUUUUCAGUCUAUGCAGCAAAAUUGGCAGCAAGUAGAAGGGGUCACCACAAGCACUCUAGUUCGGA